Molecule: non-coding RNA, 148 nt
Filed under: Homo sapiens (human)
Lineage: Eukaryota; Metazoa; Chordata; Mammalia; Primates; Hominidae
Source: Rfam by way of RNAcentral
GCCAGGCGUGGUGGCGGGCGCCUGUAAUCCCAGCUGUUCAGGAGGCUGAGGCAGGAGAAUUGCUUGAGCCCAGGAGGUGGAGGUUGCAGUGAGCUGAGAUCACGCCACUGCACUCCAGCCUGGACGACAGAGCAAGACUCUGUCUCAA